This 253-nucleotide ribosomal RNA is filed under the name uncultured bacterium. RNAcentral describes it as "partial 16S ribosomal RNA". It matches the Rfam family "Bacterial small subunit ribosomal RNA", at positions 524 to 776 of the family's 1533-position model. The record is from RNAcentral.
UACGUAGGGUGCAAGCGUUGUCCGGAAUUAUUGGGCGUAAAGAGCUCGUAGGCGGCUUGUCGCGUCGGCUGUGAAAACCUGGGGCUCAACCCCGGGCCUGCAGCCGAUACGGGCAAGCUAGAAUUCGGUAGGGGAGACUGGAAUUCCUGGUGUAGCGGUGAAAUGCGUAGAGAUUGGGAAGAACAUCAGUGGCGAAAGCGCUCUACUGGACCUUAUCUGACAUUGAGGGACGAAAGCUAGGGGAGCGAAUGGG